AAGAGUUUAGUUAAAAAAAAUAACAUUAGAUUGUCAAACUAAAAUUAUUAUUAAUAAUAACUCUUU
Molecule: transfer RNA, 66 nt
Filed under: Anthrenus verbasci (variegated carpet beetle)
Lineage: Eukaryota; Metazoa; Arthropoda; Insecta; Coleoptera; Dermestidae
Description: tRNA-Asp
Source: RNAcentral